RNAcentral lists this ribosomal RNA (253 nucleotides) under uncultured bacterium. Its description in RNAcentral is "partial 16S ribosomal RNA". It matches the Rfam family "Bacterial small subunit ribosomal RNA", at positions 524 to 776 of the family's 1533-position model. The record is from RNAcentral.
UACGAGGGGGGCAAGCGUUGUUCGGAUUUAUUGGGCGUAAAGGGUGCGUAGGCGGUUUGGCAAGUCUGAUGUGAAAUUUAUGGGCUCAACCCAUAGUCUGCAUCAGAAACUGCCGGGCUUGAGUAUGGGAGAGGUGAGUGGAAUUUCCGGUGUAGCGGUGAAAUGCGUAGAUAUCGGAAGGAACACCUGUGGCGAAGGCGGUCUGCUGGGCAGUAGCUGACACUGAGGCGCGACAGCGUGGGGAGCAAACAGG